UCAGGCCUAACACAUGCAAGUCGAGCGCGCCUUCGGGCGAGCGGCGGACGGGUUAGUAACGCGUGGGAACGUGCCCAGAUCUACGGAAUAGCCACUGGAAACGGUGAGUAAUACCGUAUACGCCCUUCGGGGGAAAGAUUUAUCGGAUUUGGAUCGGCCCGCGUUAGAUUAGGUAGUUGGUGGGGUAACGGCCUACCAAGCCUACGAUCUAUAGCUGGUUUUAGAGGAUGAUCAGCAACACUGGGACUGAGACACGGCCCAGACUCCUACGGGAGGCAGCAGUGGGGAAUCUUGGACAAUGGGGGCAACCCUGAUCCAGCCAUGCCGCGUGAGUGAAGAAGGCCCUAGGGUCGUAAAACUCUUUCGCCUGUGAUGAUAAUGACAGUAGCAGGUAAAGAAACCCCGGCUAACUCCGUGCCAGCAGCCGCGGUAAUACGGAGGGGGUUAGCGUUGUUCGGAAUUACUGGGCGUAAAGCGCACGUAGGCGGAUUAGAAAGUUAGAGGUGAAAUCCCGGGGCUCAACCCCGGAACUGCCUUUAAAACUACUAGUCUAGAGUUCGAGAGAGGUGAGUGGAAUUCCGAGUGUAGAGGUGAAAUUCGUAGAUAUUCGGAGGAACACCAGUGGCGAAGGCGGCUCACUGGCUCGAUACUGACGCUGAGGUGCGAAAGUGUGGGGAGCAAACAGGAUUAGAUACCCUGG
Molecule: ribosomal RNA, 700 nt
Filed under: uncultured bacterium
Lineage: Bacteria
Description: bacterial SSU rRNA
Rfam family: Bacterial small subunit ribosomal RNA
Source: RNAcentral